GGAGGAGGUUGUGGACGGUGGAGUAGACGGUGACGGAGAAGGAGAGAGGGAGGAGGAAGAGGACGGAGAGGGCGAGGAAGUGGCGGGAGUGGGCGUUGAUGAUUCGUUUUGAUUCGGAUAGGACGGAGGAGAAAUCGAGCUGCUGCGGAGACGCCAUGGUCGUCGUCGUCGGCGGGGGCGGAGGACGAUGAUUGUAGAGAAAAUGAAUUCGCCCGUUAUUAUGGUUGAGUUUAUGGGAGCGUUUUCCGCAGCCGAACCGGACGGCUGAGAUUUGAUUGGGAUGUUGGUGAAUUGCCACGUGUUCGGCUGGAUGUUCUGUGGAUGGUGCCCAUACUAUUUUAUCCAGAAUUUUCUCUUGUCCUUUUCUGUUAUGUCAUAACGGAUAAUUUGCAAAUUUUGGGGCUUUAUGACCUGGGCUUGACGAGUGUUUUGGGCCUUACUGUAGGCGAUGCCGAAGCCCGAAUAAUACAUAGAUUCCGGGUGAGGGACGAGGGUCAAAGGUAGCCGAAAGAAGUGCUAUUAUCGAGGUCCGGGAGUACCCAACGUCAAAGUCGCUUUGCG
Molecule: long non-coding RNA, 561 nt
Filed under: Linum usitatissimum (flax)
Lineage: Eukaryota; Viridiplantae; Streptophyta; Magnoliopsida; Malpighiales; Linaceae
Description: long non-coding RNA (LUSI_LNC002250)
Source: RNAcentral